UACAGAGGUGGCAAGCGUUGUUCGGAAUUACUGGGCGUAAAGCGUGUGUAGGUGGUAAGAUAAGUUAGAUGUGAAAUCCCCGGGCUUAACCUGGGAACUGCGUUUAAAACUGUCUAACUAGAGUACUGUAGAGGAUAGUGGAAUUUCCAGUGUAGCGGUGAAAUGCGUAGAUAUUGGAAGGAACACCAGUGGCGAAGGCGACUAUCUGGAUAGAUACUGACACUGAGACACGAAAGCGUGGGGAGCAAACAGG
RNAcentral lists this ribosomal RNA (253 nucleotides) under uncultured bacterium. RNAcentral's name for it is "partial 16S ribosomal RNA". It matches the Rfam family "Bacterial small subunit ribosomal RNA", at positions 524 to 776 of the family's 1533-position model. The record is from RNAcentral.